UUCAUUCAUAACUCCUCAGAUGUGUUCUGUCCAGUGAAGGCAGUGGAGAAGCCCUACACUAAUCUUGAAACUGUGCCACGCUACUAGAAACCGGCUACAAGGAUGGGCAGCUGUUUUCGCAAAGUCAGCCAACCACUUGCUUCCAAAUGACCCUUAUCCAGAAGUAUCCGUGAGUGCCUCAUCAACAGAAACUAAAGUGGAGACCUACCUCUCAGAGAAAAACGCACACAUAAGAAAA
Molecule: long non-coding RNA, 238 nt
Organism: Oreochromis niloticus (Nile tilapia)
Lineage: Eukaryota; Metazoa; Chordata; Actinopteri; Cichliformes; Cichlidae
Exons: 2
Source: RefSeq, a predicted model, not a curated record